RNAcentral lists this ribosomal RNA (637 nucleotides) under uncultured bacterium. RNAcentral describes it as "bacterial SSU rRNA". It matches the Rfam family "Bacterial small subunit ribosomal RNA", at positions 232 to 879 of the family's 1533-position model. The record is from RNAcentral.
CGCGGCCUAUCAGCUUGUUGGUGGGGUAACGGCCCACCAAGGCGACGACGGGUAGCCGGCCUGAGAGGGCGACCGGCCACACUGGGACUGAGACACGGCCCAGACUCCUACGGGAGGCAGCAGUGGGGAAUAUUGCGCAAUGGGCGAAAGCCUGACGCAGCGACGCAGCGUGAGGGACGACGGCCUUCGGGUUGUAAACCUCUUUCAGCGGGGACGAAGCGCAAGUGACGGUACCCGCAGAAGAAGCACCGGCUAACUACGUGCCAGCAGCCGCGGUAAUACGUAGGGUGCAAGCAUUGUCCGGAUUUAUUGGGCGUAAAGAGCUCGUAGGCGGCUUGUCACGUCGGGUGUGAAAACUCGGGGCUUAACCCCGAGCCUGCACUCGAUACGGGCUGGCUAGAGUGUUGCAGGGGAGACUGGAUUUCCUGGUGUAGCGGUGAAAUGCGCAGAUAUCAGGAGGAACACCGGUGGCGAAGGCGGGUCUCUGGGCAACUACUGACGCUGAGGAGCGAAAGCGUGGGGAGCGAACAGGAUUAGAUACCCUGGUAGUCCACGCCGUAAACGUUGGGCGCUAGGUGUGGGGAACCUUCCACGUUCUCCGUGCCGUAGCUAACGCAUUAAGCGCCCCGCCUGGGGA